RNAcentral lists this long non-coding RNA (387 nucleotides) under Amborella trichopoda. RNAcentral describes it as "long non-coding RNA (ATRI_LNC002365)". Lineage: Eukaryota; Viridiplantae; Streptophyta; Magnoliopsida; Amborellales; Amborellaceae. The record is from RNAcentral.
GAGAGAGAGAGAGACCCUUUUUGUGCCCUAGCAGAGAGAGAGAGGAUUCGAGGAGGGAGCAGUCCUUUCCCAGUGCCCGAGCUCAAAGAAGCGAGAGAGAGAGUUCAGAUGUGAGAGAAAGAGACGCGGCCCGACUUAAACCCCAAACCCUAAAAACUGGAAGAAGGCCAGGGACUCCGAUCAACUUCCACUGGAUUAUCAAAUGAUUUACAGCUCCCACAGGAGCACAAUGUUUAUUUACUCCCAGUGCCCUAAACCCCAAACCCUAAAAACUGGAAAUAUGCCAAGGACUCGGAUCAACUUCCACUGGGUUAUCAAAUGAUUUUUCAGGCCCAAUGGUUAUUUACUCCCUCAGGCAAACCUUGAUCAAGUAAGACCAUUUUUGGG